UGUGCACAUUACCCUCAUGAUUACAUGGA
This 29-nucleotide non-coding RNA is filed under the name Rattus norvegicus (Norway rat). Lineage: Eukaryota; Metazoa; Chordata; Mammalia; Rodentia; Muridae. The record is from RNAcentral.